GAUUAACGCUAGCGGCAGGCUUAAUACAUGCAAGUUGUACGGGAUUAUUGGUAGCAAUACCGAUAUGAGAGUAGCGCACGGGUGCGUAACACGUAUGCAACCUGCCUUUAACUGGGGAAUAGCUCACCGAAAGGUGAAUUAAUACCGCAUAAAAUCAUAGAAGGACAUCCUUUAUUGAUUAAAUCUCCGGAGGUUAAAGAUGGGCAUGCGUCCGAUUAGCUAGUUGGCGGGGAACAGCCCACCAAGGCAACGAUCGGUAGGGGGUCUGAGAGGA
Molecule: ribosomal RNA, 274 nt
Filed under: uncultured bacterium
Lineage: Bacteria
Description: partial 16S ribosomal RNA
Rfam family: Bacterial small subunit ribosomal RNA
Source: RNAcentral